AACUGUUGUUGCUGCAAACACCCCAGUAGGUACAGCCUUUGACUCAGUGAACAAUCAUCUAUAUUGGACAGAAGAUGAAACCGGAAAGAUAUUGAGAUGUAAUGCAGAUGGAACUAAUAAAAUAACUAUCUUUAAUGAAGUACAACCCGGAGGACUUUCCAUUGAUAUAGAAAAUAGGUGGAUGUAUUAUGGUCAGGAUCUAAGAAAUGGAAAGGUAUACAGACUUACGUUUGACGGAACGGAAAGACGACUUAUAUAUAACCAGUCUUCAUAUGUGUUCGGAAUACAAGUAGACGUUUUCGGUAAGAGACUUUAUUGGAUAGACCAUGUGAGUGGUGACUUAAAAUCUGCUUGGUACAAUGGGUCUGAUGUGAAAACCGUAAUUAGCCCUUAUUCGGGUAGUUACUGGGGCCUUGCUACCAAUAAUGAGAGUUUGUUCUACUCAAACCAGUAUUCACUUU
Long non-coding RNA from Mytilus trossulus (common blue mussel), 461 nucleotides. RefSeq lists it as uncharacterized. The record is from RefSeq and is a predicted model, not a curated record. NCBI's taxonomy places the organism in Eukaryota, Metazoa, Mollusca, Bivalvia, Mytilida, Mytilidae. The transcript has 3 exons.